GAGUACUCACUAUCAUAGGGGUUCUCAAACUGUGAGUCAAGACCCCAAAGUGAGUCACGCCCCCAUCUGAAUGGGGUUGCCAAGGCUGGUGUUGGCCCUGGGCUCCAGGAAGUCCCAAGCCCAACCCCCGCCCCACUGCCCAGAGCUAAGGUUACAUGCCCUCCACCCAGGGCAGAAGCCCUUGGACUUCAGCUUUGGCCCCGCCCCGGUGGUGGGGCUCGGUUUUUGGUCCUCUCCUGGGGUCGUGUAGUAAUUUUUGUUAUCAGAAGGGGGUCACAGUGCAAUGAAGUUUGAGAACUGCUGGAUUACACAAUACUUUAGUCUGACAAAAAAGCCAGCAUUGUACAAAAAAAAAUUUACAAACUGAACAUUUAGCAGCACUAUGAUUUAGGCUAUGUCUACACUACGCAGCUUUUAGUGACACAGCCGUGCCGCUAUAGCCAUGCCGCUAAUAGGUGCGCAGUGUAGCCGCUGUUUGUCAGCUCUACUCCCAACAAAGUGCUGUUCACACUGGCACUUGU
Molecule: long non-coding RNA, 521 nt
Organism: Gopherus evgoodei (Goodes thornscrub tortoise)
Lineage: Eukaryota; Metazoa; Chordata; Testudines; Testudinidae
Exons: 3
Source: RefSeq, a predicted model, not a curated record